This 253-nucleotide ribosomal RNA is filed under the name uncultured bacterium. RNAcentral's name for it is "partial 16S ribosomal RNA". It matches the Rfam family "Bacterial small subunit ribosomal RNA", at positions 524 to 776 of the family's 1533-position model. The record is from RNAcentral.
AACGUAGGUGACGAGCGUUAUCCGGAUUUACUGGGCGUAAAGAGCUUGUAGGUGGCUCUGUAAGUUGGGCGUGAAAGCCCCGGGCUUAACUCGGGGAGGUUGCUCAAUACUGCGGGGCUAGAGGGUGUCAGAGGGAAGUGGAAUUCCUGGUGUAGCAGUGAAAUGCGUAGAUAUCAGGAGGAACACCCGUGGCGAAGGCGGCUUCCUGGGGCAUUCCUGACACUGAGAAGCGAAAGCUAGGGGAGCGAACGGG